GUUGAGCCACAUUUAGUCUUUUUUCAAUUUCGGCAGAUGACUAUUCACUUCACUUUAUUGGUGGAGCUCCGCCACUGGUAGAAAUUUAUUACCUCUCUUGGCCACGCUCUUGGCAUUAGGUGACUGUAGUUUGCUACAGAUUUUAUAUCAAAAAGGGAAGUUUUAUCGUCAAAAUCAUCUGUUGGGGGGUUUUAAACUAAAAAAAAUCUCUGAAUUUUUUUAAACAAAUUCAAAACCCCCGAA
Molecule: non-coding RNA, 243 nt
Organism: Biomphalaria pfeifferi
Lineage: Eukaryota; Metazoa; Mollusca; Gastropoda; Planorbidae
Source: the annotation of a GenBank genome assembly